Molecule: ribosomal RNA, 467 nt
Filed under: uncultured bacterium
Lineage: Bacteria
Description: partial 16S ribosomal RNA
Rfam family: Bacterial small subunit ribosomal RNA
Source: RNAcentral
GACGAACGCUGGCGGCGUGCUUAACACAUGCAAGUCGAACGGAAAGGCCUCUUUCGGUGGGUACUCGAGUGGCGAACGGGUGAGUAACACGUGAGUAACCUGCCCUUGACGUUGGGAUACGUUCAGGAAACUGGGGCUAAUACCGGAUAGGAGCGCCUGCUGCAUGGGGGGGGUUGGAGAGUUUCGGCGGUGGGGGGUGGACUGGCGGGAUAUCAGCUUGUGGGUGGGGUAGUGGCUUACCAGGGCUUUGACGUGUAGAGGCCCUGAGAGGGUGACCGGCCACCUUGGGACUGAGAUGCGGCCGCGGCUCCGACGGGAGGCAGAAGGGGGGAAUAUUGCACCAUGGGUGGAAGGCUGAUGCAGCAACGCCGUGUGCGGGAUGGCGGCCUUAGGGUUGUGAACCGCUUUCGCUCAUGACGAAGGUUUGUGUGACGGUAGUGGGUAAAGAAGCACCGGCUAACUACGUG